This is a long non-coding RNA of Nothoprocta perdicaria, 1847 nucleotides long. RefSeq lists it as uncharacterized. NCBI's taxonomy places the organism in Eukaryota, Metazoa, Chordata, Aves, Tinamiformes, Tinamidae. The record is from RefSeq and is a predicted model, not a curated record. The transcript is spliced from 2 exons.
UUAUUUUUAUUUUUAUUUUUAUUUUUAUUUUUAUUCCUGACACUUUUUAGGAAGUGCAGAGGUGAGAUAGGAGUGGAAGAAAUAGCUCCAAGCGUUCUGUUGUAGUGGCCAUAGAGCAGUGUCGCCGCAGGGAGGUUUCCCAGCCUCUUUCCCUGUUCCUGCCUCCCGUUCCUGCAAGGGGACCUUGUAGGGCAGACACAGGCGCCGCAGGGUGUUCGGGGCCGGGUGUUGAGCCGGGCUAGGUGUGAAUCACAGGCGCUCAAGACCCCUGGAUAUCCCCCCUGGGUGUCCUAGGCAGCGACCCCGCCGCGGUAUUAAGUGCAAUAUAAGGAGAUGCAGGGACACCUUAGCAGUCGGCCCGUGUCUGCUAGGCGCCGUAUGGAGCCUUUCGAUGCUCUUGACUGGAUAAUUUCAUCCCUUUCCCUGCGUCUUCCUUCAGUGACAUUGGUCGCUGUCCCUUGGGAAUGUAGGGACGUCUCGGCUGUACCUGCCGGGUGCUUCGUACACAGAGUUCCUCGGCCCUUCAGCUUGAGGCCAUGGUACCGCUCAGGUCCAGAAGCAGCAAGUUUGGGGCUUGGGUCUUGAAAUGCAGCGUGAGAACCGUGUGUCUCCCACCUGAGCAGCGGCGCUCAGUCCGUUACAGCGAUAUCCCUGCCCUCUCCGCGCCGGUAACGCACGAGCUGCGUCGCUCCUGGGAGCCCUGCCAGCCUUAAGGGCCUCUUCUCUGUUGCUCUCAGUGACCUGCCAGCUAUCCGGGGACAUCAGCCCGUCCUCAGGCUCUGCUGGAAGCCUCAGCGGCCUCCUCAGCUGCGACGUGUUAUCCGGCUCCGUUUGGCUUGGCCAGAGACACCUUAUAAAUUAAAAGGAGCAGAUCCAGCACAGAUCCUCAUUUUUUGGGCUGGUGGGUAUUCCCGAGGAGACCCUUGGGAACGCUCAGCCCUGUCACCUGUUUAUGAUGCUGCUCGAGUGGAUGGAAGACCCGGACCCUCCACAUGCACACGUUGGACAGACCGAGGCUCUCCAAGGAGGCGGAGAUGCCGCUGGAUUCCCCGUUCCUGGGAAUGGGAGUCUUCCCAAACCCUCUGUGGUGGCUCCUUGUGCCCGUUGGGAGCAGCUCUCCUUCCAUGGAGGACAAAUGCCCAGCAAAGCCUUCAGUGGAGACCGCCCCUUUCAGAAGAGGCUGAGAAUGACCAUGAGUGACGCGAGGGUGACCAGAAACAUCUCCCCGAGCCCAGGUGACGGUCAGAGAGCUGCUUCCCUGCUCCAGAAGUCCUCCUUUGGCCACGGGGAUUGGAAUUCACCUCCAUCCUUAAGGAGCAAGGGAAAAGAUGCCUGUGACUUCCCCUCCGCUUGUUGCCUGCAGCUCAUGUGGGCCUUCAGGGCCUUCUACACAGAAGCUCCAUCAACUUCAGAGUCUCCAACUCCUGGAAGAUGUAACUGCCUUUGAGGACCCAAGGAGAUGCACGAAGAAGGUAGGAACACGUGGGACCUCCAGCCAGGAAAAUAAAACACUGUCCUGCCAAGAGCGGCUUCCUGCUGGGCCUCCCCAGCACCCGCCUCCUGCUGCCACUUAUUCCUGGUGAUAUUUUAAUUAUUCGGAGAAAAUUCCGCGACCGACUCGGCGCCCACGCAGUCGCUGCAGGAACCACGAGCGCCUUGAGCACCGUCUGGGUGUUUUGCACUAUUUUGAAAAGGUUUGGGCCACAGAAUGGAGAACCCGUUUUGUUUUGUUUUGUUUUCCUGAGCUAACGAGCUGAAUUAAGAGUCGCCUAUGAUAAUGUAGGUUUAUUUUUUCAUUUGUACUGCGUUUCGGGGAAAACUUUAAGUAAAGACCUGUUACCAGUUAA